CCUACGGGAGGCAGCAGUGGGGAAUCUUCCACAAUGGGCGCAAGUCUGAUGGAGCGACGCCGCGUGGGGGAAGAAGGCCUUCGGGUUGUAAACUCCUUUUCUGGAGGACGAACAAGGUAGGCAGGCAAUGGUCUACCCUUGACGGUACUCCAGGAACAAGCACCGGCUAACUUCGUGCCAGCAGCCGCGGUAAAACGAAGGGUGCAAGCGUUAUCCGGAAUUACUGGGCGUAAAGGGCGUCUAGGCGGCCCGUUAAGUCGGCGGUGAAAGUCCUCGGCUCAACUGAGGAAAGUCCGUCGAAACUGACAGGCUAGAGGAACACAGAGGGAGGCGGAACUCUCGGAGUAGCGGUGGAAUGCGCAGAUACCGAGAGGUAUCCCGAUGGCGAAGGCAGCCUCCUGGGUGUUUCCUGACGCUGAAGCGCUAAGGCCAGGGGAGCCAAGGGGAUUAGAUACCCCCGUAGUCCUGGCUGCAAACGAUGUGAGCUAGGUAUCGGGCCC
Molecule: ribosomal RNA, 500 nt
Filed under: uncultured KB1 group bacterium
Lineage: Bacteria; Candidatus Calescibacteriota
Description: bacterial SSU rRNA
Rfam family: Bacterial small subunit ribosomal RNA
Source: RNAcentral